GUGAGUCAUCGAAUCUUUGAACGCACCUUGCGCCUUUUGGUAUUCCGAAAGGCAUGCCUGUUUGAGUGUCAUGUAGACUCAACUCUCGAGAGGUUUCUUGCGAGUUGGAUUUGGGCGUUGCCAUUUGGCUCGCCUUAAAAGUGUUAGUGGUUUAAGCACUUGAUCGGACGUGAUAAGUUUCGUCCGGCCGUGUGUCAUCGACCGCUCCUAAACCGCCUUACGGCGCUCUUUGACUCUGACCUCAAAUCAGGUAGGACUACCCGCCGAACUUAAGCAUAUCAAUAAGCGGAGGA
This 293-nucleotide unclassified non-coding RNA is filed under the name Basidiomycota sp. RNAcentral's name for it is "partial contains 5.8S ribosomal RNA, internal transcribed spacer 2, and large subunit ribosomal RNA". The stretch from base 1 to 71 matches the Rfam family "5.8S ribosomal RNA", at positions 84 to 154 of the family's 154-position model. Lineage: Eukaryota; Fungi; Basidiomycota. The record is from RNAcentral.